RNAcentral lists this transfer RNA (74 nucleotides) under Candidatus Woesearchaeota archaeon. RNAcentral describes it as "tRNA-Glu". It matches the Rfam family "tRNA". From Rfam's summary of the family: Transfer RNA (tRNA) molecules are approximately 80 nucleotides in length. Their secondary structure includes four short double-helical elements and three loops (D, anti-codon, and T loops). Lineage: Archaea; Nanobdellati; Candidatus Woesearchaeota. The record is from RNAcentral.
GCCCCUAUCGUCUAGCCCGGUCAGGACAUGGCCCUUUCAAGGCUAAAACACGGGUUCGAAUCCCGUUGGGGGCA